CUCCCUGUGGGCCUCCAAGGAAGGGAUGAGAGGGAAGGCUGGACAAUGAUGCCUGGUCCACUUCCCAGAGCUCAUCAGUGAAGGGAUGGGCGUGUAACCCGAAUGGAGAGUCUUGUCUUUGGAAACUAGAAGGCUCCCUUCUGAACAUGGACGUGCAGACAGAAGCGGGGCCAAGAUAUACUUUACAGAGGUGGCUCCGGCAUCUGGGUUCUGGUUUCCCAGCUUCUGCUUUCAGUCUCUCUGCUGAAGCUUGGUCACCCCUCAUGAUUUCAAGCUCGCUCAGAUGUGGAUUGUUUGUGAUUAUUUUCCCCCUUUAUUUAAAUUCUUUCACAUGGGCACAGUUACUGGCCGAGAAGAGUGUGGAGUGGUAGCUGAGUCAGAGAUACUUGACUUCAACACCUACUAACUGGGAAGACUUGCAAAAGUCAUCAUCUCUGCGAGUCUAAAUUUUCUCAAUCAUAGAAAUGAAACCUCAUUUGAACCAUGACUAUCUAGGGGGCCUUGCAAGAGGUGAGGAGUGAAGGUUUCUUUCCAGUUACAGCAACAUGAAGCAACACUUCCAGACAUCCUCGUCUAUAAAAUUGGAGCUGUGAUGAUUGGUGUCCAAGUUCCCAGCAUGGCUAUGGCUAUCCAAUACCAUGUAAUUCCCAUGGGAAGCAUUUAUGACUUCAUUUAAGGGACUAUUUGUAAGCUAUUGGCUUCUUCCAUUUGUUCCAUGGAGCAUGGAAAAUGAAUUUGCAAUCAACCCUCUUGGCCUGAUCCUACUGUUUCCACUAAG
Long non-coding RNA from Talpa occidentalis (Iberian mole), 778 nucleotides. RefSeq lists it as uncharacterized. The record is from RefSeq and is a predicted model, not a curated record. NCBI's taxonomy places the organism in Eukaryota, Metazoa, Chordata, Mammalia, Eulipotyphla, Talpidae. The transcript has 3 exons.